AAGAGGAAUCUGCAAAGGAGACUGAGAAGGAACAAUAAGAAAGACAGAAGGACAACCACAGGACAUUUUGUCAUGGGAUAUGAGAGUGUUUCCAGAAGGUGAAGCCCAGUCAUGGCAAAUGCUAUAGAUACCUAAGAACUAAAAGGAGUUCCUGAAAACAUAAGCACCAAGAAGCCUUUACACCAGUACAUCCCCAUGCCUGGAACACUGCCUGCUUCACAGUAGUUACAUGUAAUUCUUGUUGAAUGAACAAAUGAGCCCAUUGGAACUUGCCAUGGAGGGCACUGGUGACUGUUGUCAUAGUGGCUUUGUGGAGUGUAGACACAAGCCUGGCACUGUCUAUGAAAAAAAAUACAGGAAAGGAGAGGUACAAGAGAACUCUGCAUUUGUCUUCUGCCCACAACUUCGUUGAAGAAGUGGAGAGGCCAAGCAACUCCAAGGCUGUUUGGAAGGAGAGCUGGGCUCUGCCUCCUGGGAGAGUUGGAGGACAUUUCUUCUCUGUGGAGUGUGAAGGGAGGACUGCCCUAUUCCUUGUCUGCUAGUGCUUGCCCCUGGGAGCCAGUGCAUCUUAUCCCUUUUAAUUCUCGCUGGCUCCCAGGGGCACGUAUUACCAUCCCAUUUUACGGGUGAGGAGACUGAGUUUCAGAGAGUUGUUCCUGUAUAGCUGUAAAUAUGGGAGGCCGAAUAGGAUGGGUUACAUCACCUGCAACUAGUUUUAUGGCCAACAGGAAUUCAUUUUCCUGGUUCUUGCAAAGCGGUGGAUAAGGCUGGGAAUUAGGAUGCCCUCCUUCUACUCUAGUCAUGCCAGUUUGGCCUCUGCUCUAUAAACAGCCCUUGUUCUUUUCUGUCUCCUAGAUUCUCUCACAUAGCUUCCCCAACUUGGAAUGCCACUCUCCCUCCCACCAGUUCAACUCCUGCAUACCUGAAAGGCCCAGCUAACCUCUUCCCACAGGAACCUUCCCUGCCCACUCUAGCUCUUGGCCAUCUCUCCCUACUCUAACUCUAACAAUUGCAUUCUGUGCCAUAAAAUCAAACUCUUCAUGACAGUACUGCCUUUUAUGAUUUGCUCAUUGUUUCCAUUUCAUUCGUCUCAUUCCAUCAGCCAGACUGAUCCGUGUAAGGGCAGGGACCGAGCACGGACACUUCCCCUAGAUGCCCCACUGUUUCCAGCUGAGUGCUGCCAUAAAGUUGCACUCGGUGACUCCUAUUUGGCUAACAUUCUAAACAUGAGCCAAGGGUCUUUGCUACAAGACAGUGAGGGGUGGUACUAUUGGGCUUUCAACCAUUAAUGAGCUAGCAGCAACUUCCCCUCACUUGGUGGCCAGCCUGCCUGGUUCCUCCAGACUGUCAAGAAGGAUUGCACCUGAGUUAGCUGAGAAAGAGAGACAGAGCUUAAUUGUAUGCUCCGUUCACACUAAGGCACCCAAGGACUACUUAGACCAGAAGCGUGGGCAGGUGUAACCACGUGGGGCUGGGGCUCCGGGGGCUCUGUGCAGCCUCCUUCCCUCCCAGGUAUGUGACGAUUGAGGAUAAGUAAGUGAAAUGCAAACAGUUAUAUACAUAACAAACAAUCUGGUCUAAAGUUGAAAACCACAAGGUGAAUUAUUGGAGUAUUUCUUUCUGGGGCCCAGCCUGGAAGGAGAAGAGACGGAAGGUGUCCACCUGCGCCAGCCGUGGUGUUUGGGUGAGGCACAGGUUGAAAGCAAUUACAGGGCUCUUGGGAAACAGCCUCGGCCCUGGAACUGUGGCAAGAACUUGGACUCGGUGGCCUGGUUUCAAAUUAUUGGAGUACUCUUUUUGGAAUAUUUCUGUGCUUUCUGUUGAAAGUUUGAGGCUGUUCAAUGACAUUAUCUAAGGCCAAGCCCUUUUUCCUGUUACCUUCUCAGCAUACAUGAGUGGUCAUUUCUUACCUCUAUAGCUUAUAAUGUGUUUUCACAUCUGUCAUCCCAUUUACUUCUUGCAAGACUUUGGAAGGGAAUAACAGUAACAAUAACAAUGUUAAUAAAAAUGUUGAUAUUUAUUAAAUACUUACAUGUUCUAGGCAUCAAGGGCACUAAGGGCUUUAUGUGUAUUAAUUGGUUUGUUCCUCACCGUUUCACAGAUGCAGAAACUGAGGCACUGAGAAGAAUGAUUUCAGACCAUACAGUCUUCCAAGUGGCAAAGCCUGGGCUUGAACCAGGUCUCCUGACCUACAACUUGGCAGAGAGAGGGACAACCACCAUGUCCCCUUGUCCGUGGCUGCAUCCAGUGCCGAUUUAACUCAGCACUUCCGGGAAGCCCCUUUCUCACCCUGGCCCCAGGCUCGUUCCUGGGGAAGAUUCAGUGAUUGGGUUGGUAUCCUGAACUCAAGGGAGGGAGACAGGAGAACUGGGCUUAGCUUGGUCAUUCCCUUAACCUCUCCAAGCCAAAAUUUUGUUAUCUGCAAAUUAGGAAUGAUGGUUCUAAAAUAUCUGAUAGGCCUGUUGGAAGCAUCUCAUGAGACAGCGUAAAUAUAAAGCACUUGUAAUCAAAUUCCCCUCCUCUUCCCUUUCCCUGCUGUUCCAGGGAGCGUUGCAUGUAUAGACACAGGGUUUAUUGUUGAAUUGACAUAUUUAUUUGCUGGGCCACAUUACUGAAUAUAAUAAGGCAAGACCCACUGAAAGGAACUCUGACUUCUGGUAUCCCCUGGGAAGGAGGCCUGUCUUCAGUAUGGAAGUAAGAUCUCAGAAAGUAGGUCGUGGGUGAGAGAGAGACAUCUGGCUCCUUGGCCUCUUUCUCUCCAGCCUGGACCUUGUGGACUCUAGACAGGCUGGAGGAUAUCCUUUGCAGACAAGUGGGGCUGGGCAGAGAGCCUCUCUGUGUGGGCCACAGGGUGCGGCAGUCACCUUAAGGGUUACUUGCAUGUUAUUCCCCACUUGAGUUACAUCUUGUUGAAAAGCUCCAGCCUGGUCUCAGCCGCGCCACUGAGGACAACAGGGUAUUCAAGUCUGGGCUUUUGGGGUAAGUAAGAACAGCAGUGCAUGCUGGUCAGCAGGGUGCGCUGCCAGUGGCGUGUGUUGGUGGGAAUGUCCCCAAGGCAAAGGGGGACCAAGAGCAGAGGUAGGAGAUACGGCCACCCAAGUGGAGAUCCUCCCUGCCAGCACUCCUUUGGUCAACAAACUGCAUUCCAGGUCUUACUGAAGGGGCUCUUGAGUGCUGAGAGCUCCACGAGAGGAAGAAGAUGCCUGGGUGCUGAGUAAGGAAACUGACAUGGAACACCUGCCUUCCACCAGGCAGGGCUGCUGGGAACACCGUGGGCAUUUUCUCACUUCAUUUUCACAAUGACCCUACGAGGUAGGUGCUGUGACUUUCUCCCGUGUUUGGGGAAACUUGGCCUUGGAGAGGUUAGCUGGUGCACCCCAGGGGCCAGGCCGUGGGUGACCAGGCUGGGAUCCAAAGCCAGGUCUGUGGGACUCACCUGCUGGUGCCAUCUCCACACACCCUGCAGUGUGCCUGGGGUGGCUUGGCCUGCUGUGGCCCUUUGUUUCUCUUUGAGAGAAGGGAGGGAAUGUUUAUUUCACUAACUGGGAUGGUGAGAUCAUUAUCACCCUCAAAAAGCAUGUAUUAAAUCCCUAAUAGUUCAUGGCACUGAGCACAGGACUGAAUUAUUUUGUACACAAAAAUAAUUAACAGAAGGACACAGAUAGGGUCUCUGCCUUCUGGGAACACAGGAUCCCCAGCACGUGAAGGUGAACUCAAGUGCCAUGCCUGUAAAGCCGAGGCCGUGGUGCCAUUCUCAGGAAGCCUGAUGACCUGUGUGACUUUGGGCAGUUCCUCACUCUCUGCAAGCUUUCUCCAGGCUUGCCACAUGGUGAGAUAAUAUACGGAAAGCACUUAGCAAGUGCUCAACAUAUACUGUACAUUCUCAAUCAUCAAUAACUAUUAUUACAGCCAUUGGGUAGAUGGCUUGUACCCAAAAUGGAUUUAGGGAUGAGGGAAAGGUUUAUGGUUAAACACUUUUUUAGGGGGUGGGGGGGUAGAGUCUCAUUCUGUUGCCCAGGCUGGAAUACAGUGGAGAGAACAUGGUUCACCUGCAGCCUCUACCUCCUGGGCUCAAGCAAUCCUCCCACCUCAGCCUCCUGAGUAGCUGGGACCACAGGUGCAUGCUACCAUCCCUGAGUAAUUUUUUAAUUUUUCUGUAGAGUCAGGGCCUCACCAUGUUGCCCAGGCUGGUCUCGAACUCCUGGGUUCAAGUGAUCCUCCUGCUUUGGCUUCCCAAAGUGUUGGGAUUACAGGUGUGAGAGACCGUGCCUGGCCAGAAAGAAGACCCUUGAUUGCACAGUGGAGGCGCCCUUUCCCUACUCCACUGCUCUGUGGCUGUGGAAAGGCUACAGGGCUCUUGUUUUCCUUACAAGAAAAUGUUCUCAUUCUUCUGAGAUAAGGAGGGCUCAGCCUUUAUGGAGCAAUCCUUCAAGUGUCUGUCUCUUAGUCACUGGUCUUUAGUUCUUUAUUCUGGAGAGAUGUGUGGCUUUCCUGAGGCAAAAGAGGUGAAGGAACUGUGCAGGCUAGAGCUAUUAGUGACCUGCAUACAGUAACAUUGUGCACAUGUACCCUAGAACUUAAAAUAUAAUAAAAAUAAAAAAUAAAAAAAAGAACUCAAUAAGUGCUGACUGACCGGCAUACCAGGGUGGGGGGUGCCCAGUUUCCCCAGACCUACAAAGGAGCCUGCUGUCCUUUCAGUAUUUGCCUGAGGGACAAAAUGACAGAGCCGCGAACCCAUCAGGUAAGACAUCUGGGGCUGCCAGGGCUGCAGAUGCAGACGGAGGGCUCCCAGAGGAGCUUUCACCCUGUGAGGUCCUGCAGUGUGCACCCUUUGCCGUGCACAGCUGGACAGGGAUUGACUGAGGAGCCCCAGUGACACAAGGGCACAUCCUUUGGAAAAUCUCUUUUGUUUCUUCCUGGCAGAGGCCGGGUAAGACACAAGCUUCAUGCUUAAUGGCCUGUCAGGGGGGAAACAAAUCCACAGCAGUAGAGAGAAAAAGAUUAAACUAAUAAUAAAACCAAACCCAAACAUCACCGCCCUCCCACCCCUCCGCCCCAGCCCACACCUGACACUGUGAGCUGUCUUCCAGCCAGUUCCCCUCCCAGGCAAAUAAUAUUUAUUCCAUGAGGCCCUGACACACCGGUCCCCAAUAAGACAAUGCUUCAUUGUUUCUUCUUUCCCCCCUGCAGCAAACCAUGGGUGCAGCAGAAGACAUGAAAAGGGAAAGGAGCGAGGUUGCUGCUCUUCUCGUGGGACCAGCUCCCGGUGCUGUCAAAACAAGCCUGAGAUAAGGGCGGGCAAGGGGUGGCAGGCUCAGAGAUUAGCGCUGCUACUGCCCAACCUGCUCAGAAAGUUUCAUUCUUUUAGCAAAGUUCCUGGCAGCUGUGACCACUUAAACGGCUUUUGCUUCCAUUAAACAGGAGACUCAUUAAGUCACGGAGCUUAAAACAGCUCUAAAGGGCCCAGUAGUCAUUCCUCAGUGAAAAGUGCCAAUUCAUUGCUUGGUAGAUUAAAAAAAAACCUGGAGGUUCGCAGUCAGAGGUGAGUUUCUGUAGCAUUGGGGUUGACGGUUGACCUCGAGGUGACCUUGUGCUAAAAAAACGGUCUUGUGUGAGUCAAAGAGGCCUGCACUGGUGGUGCAGUGAGAAGAGGGAAGGUUCAGACACAGAGAGGAAUCGGAUUGUCAGUUUCCCCAGGUUCUCAGCAGCUGCCCUGUCUGUUCAGACCUGAAAGGUCCAGACAGAUGUCUUAUCGAUGUUAGGGUUUAUCAAUACAUUUAUCAAUGGGAUGUAUGUUGCAGGCCGAGACAGUUUGUGUUUUCCCAGUCCAAGUUUACUUCCUCGUGGAUCAGCCACAGCCAUCAGGGGCAGGACAAGUCGCGCCUUGAAACUAGGGAUGGUGUCCCUUUCUUCUUUGAGCAGUGCCUGUAGACAAUUUACAGAAAGGAGGGGAACAAAUGAUAACCCCAGGGGCUGACCUACAUUGCCCUCUUUCAUAGGGGAGCCCACCCCUCACUCAGCAAUGGUCCAAGGUGGCUAAACCAGCCAGUAGGCGGGAACAUCGUGACUGCUCACGAGGGCAAAGUGGGCCAGGUGCGGUGGCUCACACCUGUAAGUCUAGCACUUUGGGAGGCUGAGGUGGGCAGAUUGCCUGAGCUAAGGGAGUUUAAGACCAGCCAGCCUGGGCACAUGGUGAAACCCCGUCUCUACUAAAAUACAAAAAAUUAGCUGGGCAUGGUGGUGCGUGCUUGUAGUCCCAGCUACUCGGGAGGCUGAGGCAUGAGAAUUACUUGAACCUGGAAGCGGAGGUUGCAGUCAGCCUGGGUGACAGAGCGAGAUUCUGUCUCCAAAACAAACAACAACAGCAAAAAACAAAAACCAAAACCAAGGAACAAGGGCAAAGUGAAAACCUGUUUCUGGGGAGUACUCACUGGCUUUCCAAAAGCUUUCAUUUAUUCUAACUCAUAAUUAGGUGGAGUGAGCAGGGAAGGUAUUACUAUCCCCAUUUUACGGCUGAAGAAACUGAGGUUCAAGAAAGUUAAGCGACACCUAAGCAAGCAUCUCAAACCCCGGGACUUUUGGUUCCUAGCCUGGUGCUCUUACUACGUUAACACUGUGAGCUUUAUCCUAGGUGGCUGUGGAACUCCAGGACUCAACUUCCAGCCUGCUCUCUGUCCACCUUGCCAGCAUCCCCUUUUCACUUGUCAGGACCCAGCCAGACUACCUGCUUCACUGGAGGCCUGGCAUUGGAAGCCAAUCAGCAGAAAGAUGAAAAGAGUUUUUCUCCCUGCCCGUUUCACUGAGGUCAGAAAGCAGCUAGGAGAAGAAUGAAAAAGUUUGGGGUGGAUGUCUUUCCCUGCAAGAGAGAGUGCCCCUUCCUUAAGUUGUCUCAUCAGCAGUUUCACUCUUUCCUGGGGCUGACUGGGAGGAACUGAUUGCAUCUGCACAGAACCAUGAACAUAGAUUGUGGGAACUGAGGUAGGACAUUUGCCAAAGGGAACUCCAGGAAUACUUGGCUCCCUGCAACUCCAGUGUGAGGGACAUGCAGCCUCACGGCUACCCGGUGGAUAACGAGCGGUCUGGAAAUACCACUCCGUAAGAAUUCUGAUGGGCUCUGGGAUCCAGGACUAAAGAGGCUUGAUCCUGGCUGGAAAACCUGGGGUAACUGGCAGUCUGGUUUAUCCCAUGUGGGAUUACUCAGCCUGUAAAAGUUCUAUUUAUUUGUUAAGGGAGGGCAGAUCCAUAUCCCAUCUGUUGACACCUGGACGGCAGAGGGGCAAGCACUGCACCGCCUUGCCCAUCAGCACCCUGGCGGUGGCACUCCCUGCCAAGCUGCUGUGGUGGCUGGGAAGAACACCUGGUGGGUGAGUGAGUGAUGGGAGAGCCUCCCACUGGCAGCUGCCGACCUGCCGAGAGCCAUGAUCGUCACUUAGUGGAAUGGAAGGCCCAGGCAAGUAGGCUGAGAGCACGGCUCCAAACAUGUUUCCCUCACACACAUGCCCCAGAGUGGGCCUGACCUUGUCAGUGAAACCAGGCUCACCAGCUCCCAGAAGCUGCCUCUCCAAGAGUGUCUCGGAGGUUUCCCAGCAUUUCUUUUCAGGCUGUGUUAGUUUUGGCUCCAAGACCAAAUAAGCAGAAGAUUCGAGAGGUUUUAAAUCUUCAAUUCCAAUGCCGAUCAGGGCCCACCCACACUUUAACUGUGAUGUCUUUCUGUGGUUUCAGUUCAGAGGUCAGAAGAGCAGAGAGGAGGAGCUACCUAAAGUUUUAGAGGGGGAGAUUCACCUGGUUUCAAGGCGAUGUCAAAAAACAGAAUUAGUGUGAGAACGACUGGCAUUUGCAAAGAGCACAGGAUCUGUGCUGAAGAUACAAGCCUUCCAAAGCUGGCACCAGCAUAAAUCAACUGUGCAACCUUGAGCAACUGAAACAGACCUUCUGGAUCUCCAUUUCCUCACCAAGAAACAAAAGAAGUUGGAUCGAUGCUCUCCCAGGGCCCCUUCCAGUUCAACCUUUUAUGGUUAUACAACUACUCUCAGCACGAUGUCCUUUAUUUAUCAAGAAAAUAGCAUUGGCACACCUCAGGUAGGACAUGUGCUUGAGUUGUUCUUUCUGCUGUGCUGAGAGGUUCUCAGUGCUCCACCCCUACACCUGCCCAUCCCUUUUGCCCACCAGUUUCCAUGCAAGAAGGCUUGCCCCGUGGCCUCUGCUGUCCUCUAGAGUCCCUCAGAGGAUGCCAUCCAAUGGCCACAACAGGGCUGGCAGGUCUAGGUCUCAAUUCUGACCCCAGGAGCUGACUUGGGUGGUUGCAGGCAGAACUUAGCUUCUCUGGGCCUCAUCUACCGAAUGGGAUAAAUCGUCCGUCCUGGGAAAACACUCUGAGAUGCUUUGGUGAGAAAAGCAAGAGGCGCGUGAAGCGGCCCUGUUGUGGAGGCUGAGGAUCUCAAUCCCAGAGUCUUUGAGAACUAGUGGCCCUUUACUAAUGGGCUGCACACCCAACAGAAUGUUGUUGAUUCCCAGUUUACGUGGAACUAAACCCUGCUGGCAGAUGCUGGGUGACUUAUUCACAUGCAUUGUGAACUUGGAUCAAGACUCCUUCUUUUUGGAUUAGUUCUGAGCCUGGUUUUAAAGCAUCUUGCUGGAACAGUGAGUGGUUCUGCAAGGCAUUUCAGCGAGCCCUUUACAAGCUCACUCAUCAGGCCUUGGGGAACGAGGCUUACUUCAACCAGCUCAGCUUGGAUGCCAUGCUGGAGGCUGCUGAGUCACACAGGCAGAGCCCGUUACCUGCCAAACGUGGCUUUUCUGGAUCCACCUUUCCGGUGUGAUGAACUCACAGGAUUAAUCUGAGAGCUUGUCCCUUCUCUUCUCUCUUCCCUCUCUCCUUUCCCGUUGCCCUCACCUGCAGCUGUUGCCCCUCAGGUGAGAGCACCUGAGCUGGAAAAGUGGGGGCAAUGAGUCUCAGGCUCCAAGAGCUUCUCUCUGAAACAAGCCAGGAAAUGGCCUAAUCGCCCUAGGGAUGAAGGGGCCCCACUUUGCAAGAGAUCCCUGAAUGGAGAUGGGAAUUAAUGGAGAGCAUCCUUCAGAACCAUUCAGAACUACUUGGAUGUUACUGAAUCUGCCAAGUCCUCUCAGGCCUCUGUAGCUUUGAACUUCUAUUUCUUCUGGCCAGAAUUCUCUUCCGUCCUCACCUGCCUGGUGAACAGGGCAAGAAAUGGAAAGCGUAUCCAAUCCAG
RNAcentral lists this long non-coding RNA (9227 nucleotides) under Homo sapiens (human). RNAcentral's name for it is "HSALNT0183341". Lineage: Eukaryota; Metazoa; Chordata; Mammalia; Primates; Hominidae. The record is from RNAcentral.